CCUACGGGAGGCAGCAGUAGGGAAUAUUGCUCAAUGGGGGAAACCCUGAAGCAGCAACGCCGCGUGGAGGAUGAAGGUUUUCGGAUUGUAAACUCCUUUUGUUAGAGAAGAUAAUGACGGUAUCUAACGAAUAAGCACCGGCUAACGCCGUACCAGCAGCCGCGGUAAUACGGAGGGUGCAAGCGUUACUCGGAAUCACUGGGCGUAAAGGGCGCGUAGGCGGGAUAGCAAGUCAGAUGUGAAAUCCUAUGGCUUAACCAUAGAACUGCAUUUGAAACUGUUAUUCUAGAGUAUGGGAGAGGUAGGUGGAAUGCUUGGUGUAGCGGUAAAAUCCGUAGAGAUCAAGAGGAAUACUCAUUGCGAAGGCGACCUGCUAGACCAUAACUGACGCUGAUGCGCGAAAGCGUGGGGAGCAAACAGGAUUAGAUACCCGAGUAGUC
This 440-nucleotide ribosomal RNA is filed under the name uncultured bacterium. RNAcentral describes it as "partial 16S ribosomal RNA". It matches the Rfam family "Bacterial small subunit ribosomal RNA", at positions 338 to 795 of the family's 1533-position model. The record is from RNAcentral.